Long non-coding RNA from Notolabrus celidotus (New Zealand spotty), 277 nucleotides. RefSeq lists it as uncharacterized. Lineage: Eukaryota; Metazoa; Chordata; Actinopteri; Labriformes; Labridae. The transcript is spliced from 3 exons. The record is from RefSeq and is a predicted model, not a curated record.
CUCAAAUAUGAAUCAGUGCUGCUCUGGAAAAAAAAAAAUCAUCUUAGUGUUGCAGUGUCAACAACAUUUUAGAGCACAACUCUUCAGUCCUGGCUUUAUUCACUUCAGGCAGAAUACCAUCAUAUUGACAUUCAUGAAUUUUCCCAAACCAAGAGGAAGUGGUCGGGCCUUAUCAAUAAAAGCAGCAUUAUGAGCUGGUUGUCCUGGAGGAUUGGAACUCUGACAGGGUGAGCAAGACUCUGACCUGAAGCAAGGGUGACUUAUUUUUAUAACAAAG